AUAUAGAUAUGAAACUAAGAACAACUAAUACAAAGCAACACAGAAUCCAAAAUUUUUUAUUUGAAGAAUUUUGUGAUAUCCUUAAAUUUAAUGUACAGGUAAUAUCCAAAAAGAAAUGCCCUCAAUAUUUUCAACAGAGGUAGAAGCUACCAGAGACUCACUGGGUCUGAUUCUGAUGACUGGAAUGUAGCUCUCCUAAGAUGCUGUCUGCACUUCCGAGCUUCUUCUUCUGAUUGACCCAUGUUGAUCAGCCUGGACACAUACAACAGACUAGAAUUUUGUCACUUUUAAAUCUGCCACCUUCUACGAAUAUGGUCAACUCAGGCUAGAAUGAAAACUAUAGUUGUUCGGCCAAGUUCUAGGCAAGGGUUUCAGAGCGCCUGCUCCUCUGGUUGCAUUCAUAUGGCUGCUGGCAGAUCGGCUCCCUUGUUUAUACAGCCUGCCUUACUCCACAGGGUUCUUCUGAGAAUCAAAGGAGAUCCCAAGAGAGUGAGAUUCCCGCAGUAGAAAGAGCAGUCAGAUGAUCGAAAAUACCUGAAUUCUAAUCCCAGGACUUGACUUAAUUUCUCUGGGUUUUUGUUUUCUUAUUUGCAGGGCGAGGGUAGGAACAUCUCCUCUAUUUGUCUCCUGGAGUAGCGUGCACUACAUGAGAUGCUCUAUGUGAACACACUUUCCAGUUCUGUUUCCAUUUUAGACUGAGAUUUCUGGUCACUGUCAUCUAGAUGAGAUUCAUUUACUUUUAUCUAGUCCCCGAGUCACCAGUUGCAAACAUACACAGAAUGACCGACUGGGAUUAGUGGUGUGGUUUGUGAGGGUGAAAUUGAGUGAGAAGAACCAUAAAAGGCCCCAAAUCUGUGGCCUCAACUUCAUUAAGCAGGCGCAAUAUUCAUCAAUGUGAUCCAUCCUCAGUCAAAUGCAGCCUUCUGCCCUUUUGCAGCUUAGCCUUGCUGUCAGCAGCUGGGGGCCCUGCCCAAGGGCAGAGGGAGGGAGCCCCAGGUUGCCCACACUGCUGAUGAUAUCUGGAAUAUUCAAGGACUGCAAAACAAACCCCCAGUCAUCAUUUUACUUUAAAAAGCAAAAAGUCUCCCAGAUAAUGAGCAUUUUGCUCUAAUAAGAACUGUAGGAUUGAUUAGGUUCAAACUGUUAACAGACAUCCUUAUGGUUAAUGAAGCAGCAUUGAAAAUGCCUCUUGAUUCUUCGGAAACUUAAAUCAUACAAAGGCAGCAAGGAAGGAGAACAGAAUUGGAGGUGGGGUACAGUUAAACUGUCUGCUAGUUAAUGUACUUAAGAUAAUGAACAAAAAAUGUUUGUUCUUUGGUAAGUUAAUAUUUGUGGAGAGUCAUCUCUGCUGUGGGCAAACAAUACACUUUGAUGAUUAUCGUUAAAACAUUCUUUGGGGUCACAUGUUUUCCUGUGAAUCUUGAGUGGAGGAGGAAGCCGCUGCCAUUUUAAUUCCUUUGUUAAUGUCUUUAUGAAUGCAAUUAACACUUCAUUCACGCUUCUUUGUUUCUAGAUCCCAUUAGGAUGUGGUUUAUGCCAGUUUCUCUCUCCCAGGAGACAGCCCACAUCACACAACAUUUCACUCAGCUGUGUGGCUUAGCACUGACAAACUCAAUUUACCAAAGGCAGGAGUGAGUUGACACCAUGCUGCGGCAGUCGUCCUGAUGGGAAGAAACGACUCAUUUCAUUCCAAGGGGGAACACACCUCUGAGCAGCAUGUUUGUAUGCCAGAGUCUGGGAGGCCAGGAAGCAAGUGAAAUCUCUGCAGAUCAAGAAUGCUAAGAUCCAAGGCCUUAAAACGGAAAGCCAACUAUGGUAGAUAAAACAGGUUGCCAUCAUUUUCAUCAAACCUUCGUGAGGGCUAACUAGGUAGAAAGUAAGGGAAGAGCCAGAAGCAAGGGCCCCUCUAGAGCUUAAGAGACCAGAGAUAUCCAUAACAAACACAUCAGCAAGACCAUAAGGCACCACUGGUCUCUGAGCCAUGGGGCCUGGGAGGAGGGCUUUUCUGAGGAUGUGGGACUUAAAGUAAAAGCAGUUCCCCUGGCUAUCCUACAGAGGUCACCAGGAAAGAGGAGGAGGGUGGGAAGAGUUGCAGAGCGGGAAGAGAGGCAGGCAUUAGCAAAGACAGCAGAAGUGUGAAGUGAGUAAGAGGGGUUGUGUUCACAAGAAAUUACUUCCCCUUUAUAUUAAAGUCUCUCCUCCAAUUGAUGGCAUCAUUUCUAUUUCAAAUAUCAGUGUGAUAUUUGCUUAACAGCCAAAGGCACUGCAGAUGAAUAUAUCUGAAUCUUACUAAGAUACUGUAAGAGGAGAUGAAGGAGGUCUGAAGUGACAUCAGAGACAAAGGGAAGAAACAGGCACUGCCCGUCAUUCGAGGAAUGGUCUGACAGCCCCAGGCUGGAGAAUGUGUCUCUCCCAAGUGCUCUGUCACCCUGGUAACCAUGGAGACCAUGACGAUCGAUUAGAUGCCAUCUGAUCUCAACCUCAUAAAAAAAAAAAAAAGGCAGCAGAUGGCAACCAGGCCACUAGACCUGUCUCAAGAGAGACACGAAGGAAGAGAGAAAGGGAAGGAAGGAGGGGAGAAAGGAGAUACUGUGGUAGACUGAUGCCCGGAGAAGAAAGCACAGAAGCAGUUCUGGAAA
Bubalus bubalis (water buffalo) is the source of this 2639-nucleotide long non-coding RNA. RefSeq lists it as uncharacterized. NCBI's taxonomy places the organism in Eukaryota, Metazoa, Chordata, Mammalia, Artiodactyla, Bovidae. The transcript has 2 exons. The record is from RefSeq and is a predicted model, not a curated record.